CCUACGGGGGGCAGCAGUGGGGAAUAUUGCACAAUGGGCGAAAGCCUGAUGCAGCAACGCCGCGUGAAGGAAGAAGGUCUUCGGAUCGUAAACUUCUGUCCUUGGGGAAGAUAAUGACGGUACCCUUGGAGGAAGCCCCGGCUAACUACGUGCCAGCAGCCGCGGUAAUACGUAUGGGGCAAGCGUUAUCCGGAUUUACUGGGGGUAAAGGGAGCGCAGGCGGCCUGCCAAGUCUGGAGUGAAAACCCGGGGCC
Molecule: ribosomal RNA, 254 nt
Filed under: uncultured bacterium
Lineage: Bacteria
Description: partial 16S ribosomal RNA
Rfam family: Bacterial small subunit ribosomal RNA
Source: RNAcentral